GGCUUCAUAGCUCAACAGGUAAAGCGCUUACCGGUUUGAGGCAUGGUCUUUUUGUCGCUGGUUCGUAUCCAGCUGAAGCCC
This is a non-coding RNA of Paragonimus heterotremus, 81 nucleotides long. Lineage: Eukaryota; Metazoa; Platyhelminthes; Trematoda; Plagiorchiida; Troglotrematidae. The record is from the annotation of a GenBank genome assembly.